GGGUUGUUAGUCCCUUCGGUGCAACAACAGCUGGAUGUGUUCAGUUGCCAAUUAAAACAGAUGCUUCAAGUGGUGAUACUGGUUCAUUUCAGGAUGAUCAGAGUACAUUGCAAGGUGGAUCACAUAUGAAUAGCUUGGAAGUUGAAUCUGUGGGUGACUAUGAAAAGCACCUACUAUUUGACUCUGCUGAAGUAUCAAAACCUAAAAAGAAGAAAAAAGCAAAGCUUCUGGGUACUUCAUAUGGGCAGCGAUGGCAGGUUGACUCAAAUUAUCAAAUCAACCAGAAGGAUCAUUCCAGAAAGAGAUUCGAGGGCCAUCAACUUGAAUCAAACGGC
This 335-nucleotide unclassified non-coding RNA is filed under the name Hevea brasiliensis (rubber tree). The record is from RNAcentral. Lineage: Eukaryota; Viridiplantae; Streptophyta; Magnoliopsida; Malpighiales; Euphorbiaceae.